Molecule: ribosomal RNA, 434 nt
Filed under: uncultured bacterium
Lineage: Bacteria
Description: partial 16S ribosomal RNA
Rfam family: Bacterial small subunit ribosomal RNA
Source: RNAcentral
AGCGAACGCUGGCGGCAGGCCUAACACAUGCAAGUCGAACGAACCUUUCGGGGUUAGUGGCGGACGGGUGAGUAACACGUGGGAACGUGCCUUUAGGUUCGGAAUAACUCAGGGAAACUUGUGCUAAUACCGAAUGUGCCCUUCGGAGGAAAGAUUUAUCGCCUUUAGAGCGGCCCGCGUCUGAUUAGCUAGUUGGUUGAGGUAAUGGCUCACCAAGGCGACGAUCAGUAGCUGGUCUGAGAGGAUGAUCAGCCACAUUGGGACUGAGACACGGCCCAAACUCCUACGGGAAGCAGCAGUGGGGAAUCUUGCGCAAUGGGCGAAAGCCUGACGCAGCCAUGCCGCGUGAAUGAUGAAGGUCUUAGGAUUGUAAAAUUCUUUCACCGGGGACGAUAAUGACGGUACCCGGAGAAGAAGCCCCGGCUAACUUCGUG